GGACGAUGCUAAAUCAUGCUAGCUACUUCCUGCCGCAAAAGUAAAUAGAGUAAUGUGGAUGCUCUCUAUACUGUCGUACAUAGACAACUCAAGGUAAGAUGAAUUUGACCCAAACAUCAAGAUUAGAUUAACUAAACCUAUAAUCCCUCACAGGCUACACUGAACAAUGGGAAGCAACUCCAAGGGACUCUACGUGAGGCGCUGUCACAGCUAGACUUCCUAUUGGACUGUAUCGGAAGGGAGCGCGUGGAGCAGUUCGAGAGAAGAGCUGGACAGGCCCUUAGCAACAGUGCAGCUCUCCUCACAGCCCUAGCCCAAUCCCAGGUGUCCCUAGUGAGCACAGAGGUGGAUGGAGACAUUAAGAAACCAAGCAACACACCUGGCAAAGCGCCAUCUUUCAGCGCGGCAUCCCUUUUGUCACAACCUGUAGAGAUAGUGACUCCAGGCGGGAUCAAACCUCUUCCGGCUAAUAUUGACUCAACGAAAGAUCCGCAAAAAGAGCAGGCUGAAAGCAGAGUGCAAAGCAAAAGAGCCAUUACCAGAGGAACAAUGGAUGCUGUUAAAGAACCUACCAAGAAAGUGAUGAGCGACACUGAACAAAGAGCAGAGGACCUAGAAUACGGCAAAGACUCAUUGAAGGGCUGGAGCAUCCAGCCAGCAGAGAGAAUGGUCACAGACAUGGAGGAUGGGGAGAGUCAAAUACAAAUUCCCAUGGGAGAAACCUUAACCCAAACUCCCAUCACCAGCGUUGAUAUCUCAGCCACUGUGGUGGUGCCAGAGACCCCGGGCUCUAGCCAAUGUGGGGAUACUGUAACAGAGAUGACACCUCACCAUAUAGAACCAAUGGAUCGAGAGGGAACCUCACCUCCGACACCGCACAAAGUGUUCACCAUCGUUCUGGACACAGACCUCGAACGACAACUUGAUGGCAUGUCUAUGGCCAACGCUCUCCAAAGCAGACCAGGUUACCAUGGCAACAAUGCUAUUGUACAUACAGACUCACCUCAACCUGGCGACGGUGAGAUUCCAGCUACUGAGUCACAUGACGAUGCAAACACUGCGGUUGCAUAUGCUGGGAAAUUUCUUGUUCAGGAAGCUGAGACUCUACAUCGUGAAGUCACUUCCUCGACCAAAGCUGAAUUGGGCAUUAAAAGCAGUGUGGGGCUAGAUGUAACACAUCUCAUGCCGCAUCCAGAAAGAAAGCAGCUGGAGACGCAUGCAAGACCCACAGACAAAUCACAGUCAGAUAACAAAACACAACGCACAGAGUCUAGAGACUGCACUGAGACAAAGAAAGUAUUUACAAUUGUUUUGGACAUGGAGCUACCUCUGUCUCAGUCCAAGGACAUUCAAAGCAGGGAGCCUCCUUGUGGUAAUGGCUCAGAUACAUUUAGCUCUGGUGACCUUCCUUCAAAACUGACUGAUAGUUCUGUCACUGGGAACACCAAGAACACAGAUGGCGGGCGGCGCGUCAAGUCAAAGCACAGGGGGCGGAGGAGGGCUGAUUUUAGGAGCUCAGCGUCCAAGGGCCACAAAGUGAAGAGUUCCAAGGGCCCCUCUGCUGCAAAGAACACGGAAUCAGAGUGGGAGAAAUCGCAGGGCCCCAAAACAAAAGGUCUGAAAUCAAAAGGCCCCGAAUCAGGGCUCACAGAGUCGAAGUCCGCUGAAUUGGCAGACACCGAAUCCGAGUCACAGAGACACACUGAUAACUCUGACAACACUGAACCAGGAAGUGUUGACGAUGACGUAGACACAGACGCUAAAGAUGCCAGACAGACAGAAAUGACAAACAGACAAAUAGCUGUAAACACAGAAGCAUCUGACAGAAUGAAGGAGACUUCAGACAUCACCUGUACUACAGACAGCAAAGAUAACAGACAGAUUGUGAGCAAAGACACUGGAAAGAUAGACACAACUGACAUGCUACAGGUGAAUGAUCUCACACAGACAUAUGUCAGUCAGACAGAUGCCACAAGAGACAAUACACAGUUGUCACACGCACCUUCACCAGCAUAUGCAGCCACAGAGAUUGAGCCCAGAGAGGGGACAGAAAGGACAGCUCCACAGGAACAGAUGCAGGAGGGGAGUGAAGUCAAGAGGAGUACCUCGGUCCAGACUGGUGGGUUGCUAUCCGAAGCCGUGGCGAAGGUGGAGAGAGUUGGGGCAGCGGUGCGCACGGAGGUCCCGCGCCACAGGUCCACUAUGCAAGGCAUCCUCUCUGAGGUCCAAGGGUUGGUGGAGAGGAAGGACAUCAUCAAGGUGAGUGUUAGGGAGUUUCUCUGUACGGCCGACCAUGAGAUUCGAACUUGUGUUCAUUACAAUAAUACUCACCCGACCACAAUCGGUAAUUCUCAACAGCAAUACUCAGCCAAGCCAAAGGUGUGUGAACUGAGACAGUUGGCUAUUAGAUCUCAGGGAAGGUAAGGUGGCGUCAACAUGGGAUAUGGUUUACUGUGCAUUGUAGGAACCCAACUAGUUG
Molecule: long non-coding RNA, 2479 nt
Filed under: Salmo trutta (river trout)
Lineage: Eukaryota; Metazoa; Chordata; Actinopteri; Salmoniformes; Salmonidae
Description: lncRNA (ENSSTUG00000029511.1)
Source: RNAcentral